RNAcentral lists this small RNA (698 nucleotides) under Curvularia uncinata. RNAcentral describes it as "eukaryotic LSU rRNA". The stretch from base 1 to 178 matches the Rfam family "Eukaryotic small subunit ribosomal RNA", at positions 1656 to 1831 of the family's 1831-position model. The record is from RNAcentral. Lineage: Eukaryota; Fungi; Ascomycota; Dothideomycetes; Pleosporales; Pleosporaceae.
CCCUUUGUACACACCGCCCGUCGCUACUACCGAUUGAAUGGCUCAGUGAGGCGUUCGGACUGGCUCGGGGAGGUUGGCAACGACCACCCCAAGCCGGAAAGUUCGUCAAACUCGGUCAUUUAGAGGAAGUAAAAGUCGUAACAAGGUCUCCGUAGGUGAACCUGCGGAGGGAUCAUUACACAAAUAAAUAUAUGAAGGCUGCCCGCCGCCGUGCGGAAGGCCGGAGUAUUUUUUAUUACCCUUGUCUUUUGCGCACUUGUUGUUUCCUGGGCGGGUUCGCCCGCCACCAGGACCACACCAUAAACCUUUUUUAUGCAGUUGCAAUCAGCGUCAGUAUGUAAAAAUAAUCAUUUACAACUUUCAACAACGGAUCUCUUGGUUCUGGCAUCGAUGAAGAACGCAGCGAAAUGCGAUACGUAGUGUGAAUUGCAGAAUUCAGUGAAUCAUCGAAUCUUUGAACGCACAUUGCGCCCUUUGGUAUUCCGAAGGGCAUGCCUGUUCGAGCGUCAUUUGUACCCUCAAGCUUUGCUUGGUGUUGGGCGUGUUUAUUGUCUUUGGCUUCGCCCAAAGACUCGCCUUAAAACGAUUGGCAGCCGGCCUACUGGUUUCGCAGCGCAGCACAUUUUUGCGCUUGCAAUCAGCAAAAGAGGACGGCACUCCAUCAAGACUUUUUUAUCACUUUGACCUCGGAUCAGUAG